GUUCUGUAGCUCAGUGGCUAGAGCGUUCGCCUUACAAGCGAAAGACCUGGGUUUGAUUCCCGGCUCGGGUGAAACA
This is a non-coding RNA of Callorhinchus milii (elephant shark), 76 nucleotides long. The record is from the annotation of a RefSeq genome assembly. NCBI's taxonomy places the organism in Eukaryota, Metazoa, Chordata, Chondrichthyes, Chimaeriformes, Callorhinchidae.